UCUCUCUCUCUCUCUCUCCUGAAACCGGCCGGCUGUUCCUCUCUCCCGACAGUUCUCUGUCUCCCGGCGACAAGUAAACCCAUUGGCGCAAUCAUUCUCUCUCUUUCUCCGGCCGGCCGUUCUUUCACCGGCAGCAUCUCCACCGCGAGGUCCAUUCCCCCAACUCAACCAGCCGCAUCUCCUUAAUUUCCGUCUCCACCGUUGACGGAACCAAGCAAGGCCGAGAGAGCUGGUGCGUUUCAACUAUGAGGCUCUAAGGUGGGCUCACGGUUGGGAGAGACCAAAGCUUGAUUGGAAACGGAAUUUGACCAAAUGCAAGGCAAAUAUGGAGAAUCAAUCUAUCAAACUUUUGAUGCUGCCAGAGCUCUACCGCACAAGGGAUAAUAAGUUUCCUUGCAAGAUGUAUUAGGCUGCCUUUGUUUUUGUUAUUUUGUUGUUACUCGUUUUUCCUAGCGGUUUAGCAAUACCACUGGUAGUAAGAUGUUAAAAUAAUUUCAUUCAUCUGGUAUUGUUCACUCCUAAUGAAACCAGACUUAUGGGUUUGUGUUAUGGUCCCCAGUGGUGUUGUAUUAGAAAACUACAAAUGAGAAAAUGUUAUUGUGCAAAGAAUUUGUCAUUUGCUACAUUGGCCAUUAAAAUGC
This is a long non-coding RNA of Alnus glutinosa, 641 nucleotides long. RefSeq lists it as uncharacterized. The record is from RefSeq and is a predicted model, not a curated record. The transcript is spliced from 3 exons. Lineage: Eukaryota; Viridiplantae; Streptophyta; Magnoliopsida; Fagales; Betulaceae.